GAACUGCGAUAAGUAAUGUGAAUUGCAGAAUUCAGUGAAUCAUCGAAUCUUUGAACGCACAUUGCGCCCCUUGGUAUUCCAUGGGGCAUGCCUGUUCGAGCGUCAUUUGUACCCUCAAGCUCUGCUUGGUGUUGGGUGUUUGUCCCCGUCUCCGCGCGUGGACUCGCCCCAAAGUGAUUGGCAGCCGGCGUACUGGUCCCGGAGCGCAGCACAUGUCGCGCAAACGAGUGCCUUGGUACGGCGGCGUCCAUAAGCCCCUCUCUCACGCUCUUGACCUCGGAUCAGGUAGGGAUACCCGCUGAACUUAAGC
Molecule: unclassified non-coding RNA, 310 nt
Filed under: plant metagenome
Description: partial contains 5.8S ribosomal RNA, internal transcribed spacer 2, and large subunit ribosomal RNA
Rfam family: 5.8S ribosomal RNA (bases 1-105)
Source: RNAcentral